RNAcentral lists this ribosomal RNA (492 nucleotides) under uncultured bacterium. RNAcentral's name for it is "partial 16S ribosomal RNA". It matches the Rfam family "Bacterial small subunit ribosomal RNA", at positions 29 to 507 of the family's 1533-position model. The record is from RNAcentral.
AGUGAACGCUGGCGGUAGGCCUAACACAUGCAAGUCGAACGGCAGCACAGUAAGAGCUUGCUCUUACGGGUGGCGAGUGGCGGACGGGUGAGGAAUACAUCGGAAUCUACUUUUUCGUGGGGGAUAACGUAGGGAAACUUACGCUAAUACAGCAUACGACCUACGGGUGAAAGCAGGGGAUCUUCGGACCUUGUGCGAUUGAAUGAGCCGAUGUCGGAUUAGCUAGUUGGCGGGGUAAAGGCCCACCAAGGCGACGAUCCGUAGCUGGUCUGAGAGGAAGAACAGCCACACUGGAACUGAGACACGGUCCAGACUCCUACGGGAGGCAGCAGUGGGGAAUAUUGGACAAUGGGCGCAAGCCUGAUCCAGCCAUACCGCGUGGGUGAUGAAGGCCUUCGGGUUGUAAAGCCCUUUUGUUGGGAAAGAAAAGCAGCAGGUUAAUACCCCGCUGUUCUGACGGUACCCAAAGAAUAAGCACCGGCUAACUUCGUG